GACGAACGCUGGCGGCUUGCUUAACACAUGCAAGUCGAACGAUGAAGAAGAGAAACGCGAACUUCGGUUCAAAUUUCACUUCGGAUUAGUGGCAGACGGGUGAGUAACGCGUGAGCAACCUACCUCUUACAAAGGGAUAGCCUCGGGAAACCGUGAUUAAUACCAUAUGACACAUUCAUAAGGCAUCUUAAGAAUGUUAAAGCUACGGCGGUAAGAGAUGGGCUCGCGUCCCAUUAGCUAGUUGGUGAGGUAACGGCCCACCAAGGCGACGAUGGGUAACCGGCCUGAGAGGGUGAACGGUCACAUUGGAACUGAGACACGGUCCAAACUCCUACGGGAGGCAGCAGUGGGGAAUAUUGCACAAUGGAGGGAACUCUGAUGCAGCGACGCCGCGUGAGCGAUGAAGGAAUUCGUUUCGUAAAGCUCUGUUCUAUGGGAAGAAAAGGACUGUACCAUAGGAGAAAGCCCCGGCUAAAUACGUG
Molecule: ribosomal RNA, 482 nt
Filed under: uncultured bacterium
Lineage: Bacteria
Description: partial 16S ribosomal RNA
Rfam family: Bacterial small subunit ribosomal RNA
Source: RNAcentral